CUCCAGGUCAACCCUGUAAUCAUGUGGCUGAGCUACUAUUAGUCUAGCAAUCAUAACUUAAUCAUAUCAUACGCUAAUUGACCUGAAGAGGAAAGCACAGGGUCAAAAAUAAUCCAAUCAUGGAAUAAAUAUAGUAUAAGUAAUUCAUACUUCUGUAAAUGGGGGAGUCCUUCAACUUUCAAUUUCGCUCCGGACUUUAUUCUUUUCUUUGCACACGAGGCGAGUGGAGUGAGCACGGCUUCUCGAGCCUCCAUCCAUCCUCGCAGCCGUGCCCAAGGUGAUCUGCACCAUCCAUUCUUAUCAUCUAGUUGUCAAUUGAUCUAUUACCCCUGCACCCUAUUCACUUAAUGGUAGCGUGAUUAAUUAUCGCCACCUGCAGUGCAGACAGAAAGAGAAAGUGGAGAAAAGGAAGGAAAAAUCUUAUUGCGGAUCCUUUUUUCUCCGGCUUUUGUCCGUUAGACCUUGGAUUUAUAAGCUCGUCUCUAAAGUCAAUGAAGUAUCGAUGAGUUCAGGUGUAUAUGAAUACCGAGCCUGUUCUGCCUCAUUGGCCGCAAAACCUCGACUUGAACCUUUUAGCGUGAUUUGUAUAUCAGUAGCAGGUAUAGAACUCAUUAGAAACUCAUUUCUCUUAACACGUUCACAUGGAAUCUGGAAUCGGUAUUGUGCAGGAUCGCUGUUCAAAUGUAAAUUGUGUUCUAAAAGGAGAUUAUAUCGCCGGUUUUCGGCAUCGGGAGAAAUGCAGGCCUGCUAGUGGAGGUGUCGAAGCGUCUGAAGAGCUUGUUAACUCAGGCAUGAAACGCACUUGUGGAUAUUUUACUUUCUCUGUAAGACCUGUUUUACGUCCAGUGAUGGAAUAUUUGUGAACAAGCCGACACUUUAAGGUAAAUGUUGUAGAGAAAUUUGUGUAAAUAAAGAGUUGAAGGUGCACAUUACACCACUCCAGCUCACACUCCGCAUUGCAUGUAGUGAUCUCAGGCUGCUCGGCCCUGGAAACCCAUUUCAUGAUGCUCCUGAGGCACAGUUCUUGUGCUGAUGUUGCUUUCGGAGGCGGUUUGGAACACUGUAGUUAGAGAUGCAACAAAGGAUAGGCAAUGCACUUUAGCACUCUCUCUGUGAGUGUGUGGUCUACGUCUUCAUGGAUGAGCUGUUUUUUUUUUUUUUUUUUUGCUUCUAGAAGCUUCCAUUUCACAAUAAUAGCACUUAAAGUUGACCAGGGCAGAAAUUUCAUGAAUUGACUUGUGAUAAAGGUGGCAUUCUAUAUCAGUGCCACGUCCGAAGUCACCGAGCUCUUCAGUACAACCCGUUCUACUGCCAGUCUCCGUGUAUGGAGACUGCACCGUUCGGUUGUGUGCUUGGUUUCAUGCGCAUGUUCGCAACGGGUCUGGAUGAAACACCUGAACUCAAUCAUUGAGGGGGUGCAAAUACUUUUAGCCAUAUAGUGUAUCUUGAAAAACAUCUUAUCAACUCCUAACCUGUUUGCUUCCGUGUAUCGAUUCUUCUUCUUCGUCGUCAUCUUACCAUUAAGGGUUCUGUGGCUUGUUCCUCUGGCGGAACCAUACAACAGGAGGUUUCCCUAUCAAAGAAAAUCCAAGAAAAAAUGUCUGGGUUCCGCGCGCGACCCUGUUCCCCGAGAAGGGAACAAGACAUCGUGUGAGUUGUUCAGUACAGCAUAGCAAUUUAGACCUAACACUGACUUCAGCUGACCUUAUUUGGCUUCUUCCUGUAGUGGAAAGCUGAAACGGAGGGUUUCCCUAUCAAAGAAUAUUCAAGAAGAACCUAUUUAUGAUACGAAGAACCCUUAACUAUCUUGGAAAACUUCUUAUCAACAUCUGGACUGUUUAGUUAAACAUAAUUUAGAGCCGAAACCCACCUCUUUGUCGUAACAUUAAGGGUAGAGUUCCGUAAGAACUUACUUCGGAUGUAAAGAGACACUUUCCAAGACCAGGGUCUCUGCAGGUAUCAGCACUUCAAAUCUAAUACUUUUUAAUACCAUGUUCAAAAAAUGGAUUGUGUUCAUGCAGAUACAUCCGUUUCUGGGUUUAAGUAAACUAUAGCAGGGUAAACUUCUAUAGAGGGAUAUGGGAGAGCGCAGCAAAUUUAAAAAAUCCAGUAUUUCCUCAGUACAUCCAGAGCAUGUUCUCCCCGUGCUGCAGGGGUUUCCUCCCCCAGUCCAAAGACAUGCAACGUAGGCUGAUUGUCAUGUCCGAAUUGUCCAUAGUGUGUGAGUGUGUGUGUGUGUGUGCCCUGCGAUGGAUUGACACCCAGUCCAGUAUGAACCUCACCUUGUUCCCGAUGCUCCCUGGGAUACACUCCGGGUUCCCUGCGACCCUGUAGGAUAAGAGGGUUGCUUGGCCUUCUGAUGGAAAACUACGACAAAAGGUUUCCCUGUCCAAUAGGGUCCAAGAAGAAUUCCUUUAGGGUGUGAAGACUAUCAAUUUUUAAUACAUUUUAAGACAGAACACAUUUCUUCAGGCAAUUUCUAUAGUCUCUAAAGGUUCUUUGAUCCGUUCCUCUGUUGGAAACCAUAAAAGUUUUAUGUAGAAUCCUGCAACAGAGGGCUUUCUGGCAAACUGUUACGGCGUAAGCGGAAUAAAACACCCGGGAUCUGAUUUAUUUGUAAUAACAACAGUACAGCGUCAUGAUCUUAUUAUAACCUCACAUUCGAUUGAAUUAGAAAUGGAUGUAAUGCACACGAUAAGAUGGAUGUAUUCCAGAUUUUUUCUUUUUUUUUUUUUUUUAAUUAUAUGACUUUUUUCGCCCAUGAAUCCCCAAAUCCAGUCCAUCGAUAUGAGACGUCACAGUGAGUGAGAGAUGGGAUUUCCAAUUUGAAUUCGCAUGACAGUGAUGUGUUUUAUUCUCAAACACUCCAUGAUCUGACCACGUCUUUAAAAAUAAAUAAAUAAAUAAAUCAAUCAAUAAAUGAAAACCUCGGCUCAGUGUUCACUCGCAGGAAGGAAGUGGGGCCGGAUAUCACUUCUUUUGACAGUUUUAUCCAUCAGACGUCAUGGUGUGAAUUUGUUCUGUCAGGGAAAUACCCUGCAGAUGAGAACAUAUCUGCGUAUUACUGCACAAUUAAUGUAGCUGAAAAUCCUUCCAGCUGUUAGGUGUAGAAGGAGGAAUUUGUCAGGUUGAAGUAUCGACUCAAUAAGUGAAUGUACGUUAUGACACCGAGGCUUUUUUUUUUUCUCUCUAUGUAUCGUAUUUUAUUUCUGUACUCACACCCUAAUCUCUGUCAGUUUGCAUAGCAUCUGUAGCACUCGCAAAGUUCAUUAAAGUGUCUAUAAAACUAUAACCGGAGCAAAAUCUAAAUUCGGAUUGGCUUGAUGAUGCGAUUGAAUUUACGGGAUGAAAAAUCUGACUUGUCCUCAUCAGACGACUGGCGAGUCAACGUCUCAGAUGAUUAUUUUUGAAUUCUUCUGAGAAUAAACGUCCCGAUCAAUUUCAUGCUUUCUAAAGCCUGGCAAAUUAUUUAGGAAGAAAGAAAAUCUGUGUCACGUGUCCAGGUUUUAUUCAUCCUUCGUUCUGAUACGUUUUUAAACAGGCUGUGUAAAGAAAAAUAAACCACGUAUUACAAAAAUAAAAAUAAAUAAAUAAAUAAAUAAAUGAAUAAAUAAAUAAAUAAAAAACGAAGACCAGACAAGUGGUUUGCUUCGGAUUUUUACUGAAAAGUGACAUUUCAAACAAAAGUCGAAUGAUCUGAUCUGGAUGAAAUCGUUUGAACUCAUUUAGCUUAAAGUAUAAAGCUGAGAAAGCUCAAAUCCUUGUAAGAGGUUUUUUUUUUCCAUUUUCAUUAAUAAAAUUCAUAAACUCCAAGCUGUCACGACGUGUAAUAGGAGUGCUGCGAAUCAUCCGGAUCAUUCCAAGGGCCUUCGGCUGUCCAUUUCGCUGAUCUACAGAUGAUGAACCAAUUCAGCACUGUCAACGCUUCCUCCUUUAACUUUAACAAGAAACUAUUUUAAAGUCAGCUCCAUUUUCUGCCAUGAUAAAAGAUUAAAUAGGAGCCAGUCGCUCUGUUCUGACACCAAAGAAUGACUUUUUUUUUUUUUUACUUAGGGUCCAGCUGUGAAUCAUUUCUUCCUAGAGAAAGAAAACUAAGUGCACCUACAACAUGAUUAU
This is a long non-coding RNA of Ictalurus punctatus (channel catfish), 4116 nucleotides long. The record is from Ensembl. Lineage: Eukaryota; Metazoa; Chordata; Actinopteri; Siluriformes; Ictaluridae.